This 312-nucleotide unclassified non-coding RNA is filed under the name plant metagenome. Its description in RNAcentral is "partial contains 5.8S ribosomal RNA, internal transcribed spacer 2, and large subunit ribosomal RNA". The stretch from base 1 to 105 matches the Rfam family "5.8S ribosomal RNA", at positions 50 to 154 of the family's 154-position model. The record is from RNAcentral.
GAAAUGCGAUAAGUAAUGUGAAUUGCAGAAUUCCGUGAAUCAUCGAAUCUUUGAACGCACAUUGCGCCCUCUGGCAUUCCGGGGGGCAUGCCUGUCCGAGCGUCAUUACGCACCCUCAAGCCCGGCUUGUGUGAUGGGCCCCGGCGUCUCGUUCGCGAGACGGGCCCGAAAGGCAGCGGCGGCGUCGACCUGAUGAGCCCGAGCGUAUGGGGACUUCUGUCACACGUUCGCGGUGCGGACCGGCGCCUGCUUGACUUUUCUGAUUAUCCAGGUUGACCUCGGAUCAGGUAGGGAUACCCGCUGAACUUAAGC